GUAACCCUAGAAGGUUACGGUCUACAUCAUAUGUGAAGAUAUUGCACCCACUUUCUUGAUUGAAAAUGGGUGAUACUGGUCAUAAAGUUCAAGGGUAUUAUUGAAACAUUUGGGAGUUUAUCUGGUGUUUAGUAGAAGUUGAAGGGCUUGCGUGUAAAGUGAAAGUUGGCUUAAUAUAUAAGCUCUUCAAUAGUUGCAACAGUUCAUAGUUCCAGAUUUUUCUUCUCUCUCAUCAAGGCGAUUAGGGUUUCCUGUUCGUUGUUUUGAUCUUUUAUGAUCUGUGGUUUGUUUGUUUGAUCUCGUGUGAGAUCCUGUUGUAUUGUUC
RNAcentral lists this long non-coding RNA (325 nucleotides) under Helianthus annuus (common sunflower). RNAcentral describes it as "sRNA HanXRQr2_Chr13g0583341". Lineage: Eukaryota; Viridiplantae; Streptophyta; Magnoliopsida; Asterales; Asteraceae. The record is from RNAcentral.